CAGCCGCCGCGGGAAUACGUAGGUGGCAAGCGUUAUCCGGAAUUAUUGGGCGUAAAGCGCGCGUAGGCGGUUUCUUAAGUCUGAUGUGAAAGCCCACGGCUCAACCGUGGAGGGUCAUUGGAAACUGGGAAACUUGAGUGCAGAAGAGGAAAGUGGAAUUCCAUGUGUAGCGGUGAAAUGCGCAGAGAUAUGGAGGAACACCAGUGGCGAAGGCGACUUUCUGGUCUGUAACUGACGCUGAUGUGCGAAAGCGUGGGGAUCAAACAGGAUUAGAUACCCCUGUAGUCCCUGUCUCUUAUAU
Molecule: ribosomal RNA, 301 nt
Filed under: uncultured bacterium
Lineage: Bacteria
Description: partial 16S ribosomal RNA
Rfam family: Bacterial small subunit ribosomal RNA
Source: RNAcentral